CAGUGUUAUAAACUCAAGCCACAUUAAUCCUUGCUUUGUCUUUUGCCUUUGAGUAACUUUGUAUGUGCUCCUUCGCAGGCUGCAUACCUGAACCUGACUUCGUUUUCAGCAUUGUUUGCUCUCCUGGAUUUUUGACUCUGGAGAUUGAUCUCCAAACCUUGUGGAUAAAAGCCUGGGCAUCCUGCUGUCAAAAUAAGGCUGCAUACCUGAACCUGACUUCGUUUUCAGCAUUGUUUGCUCUCCUGGAUUUUUGACUCUGGAGAUUGAUCUCCAAACCUUGUGGAUAAAAGCCUGGGCAUCCUGCCCACUUUGUCUUCUCACAUCUGGCUGGCAGCUUUCCUGUCUGGAUCAACCACAGACCUCUUCAAGCGAACCCUGUCCACCCUCCAUCCCAAUAAGACCAACACCAGUACCUCAGAGCCCUACAAUGUGUGUCAAUUACCUACCAGCUCCGGUCUCCUCUGUGCGCAACUUUGUUGUUGUUUUUCCCUCCUCCUGGCAGAUCACCCAUCAUCCCUAUUUGUUUCCCAGUUCCAGCUCCUUCCGUAUCUCCACGCUUCCUGUAAAUAAAUUAUUUGUUAAACUUGA
Long non-coding RNA from Girardinichthys multiradiatus, 588 nucleotides. RefSeq lists it as uncharacterized. Lineage: Eukaryota; Metazoa; Chordata; Actinopteri; Cyprinodontiformes; Goodeidae. The record is from RefSeq and is a predicted model, not a curated record. The transcript has 3 exons.